UGCCAGCAGCCGCGGUAAUACAGAGGUGGCGAACGUUGUUCGGAUUUACUGGGCGUAAAGGGUCCGCAGGCGGAUCGGUAUGUCAGAUGUGAAAGCCCACAGCUCAACUGUGGAAUUGCAUUUGAAACUGCCGGUCUAGAGUACUGGAGGGGAGAAGGGAACACUUGGUGUAGCGGUGAAAUGCGUAGAUAUCAAGUGGAACACCGGAGGCGAAGGCGCUUCUCUGGACAGAUACUGACGCUCAUGGACGAAAGCUAGGGUAGCGAAAGGGAUUAGAUA
RNAcentral lists this ribosomal RNA (279 nucleotides) under uncultured bacterium. Its description in RNAcentral is "partial 16S ribosomal RNA". It matches the Rfam family "Bacterial small subunit ribosomal RNA", at positions 506 to 784 of the family's 1533-position model. The record is from RNAcentral.